AAUCCCUUGACGACAUUAUUAGUAGUAAAUUGCACAAUGAGCAUGGAAUGGACCUCACUUCCCACGGGUAUGAGAAUAUGUAGCAUAGGCUGUAGGCAAUUUAUACGAGUGAAGAAUGAAUAUUCCACGUAAAUGCUACUAUCAAGAUUUUUCACUGUGAUGAUCUGACUGGAUCGAAAACGUUUUGGAGAUUUAUAUUCCAUUUGGGUCAAAAAAAAAUUACAUCAUACAUAGGAAGUUUUUACUUCAUUGUAAGUUUGUUUAUACUUUAUUAUAGAGCCAACUACUGGAAUUUUCCCUUUUAAUUCAUUUUUAAAUAAAAUAAGUGUAUAAAACCA
This is a long non-coding RNA of Diabrotica virgifera virgifera (western corn rootworm), 338 nucleotides long. RefSeq lists it as uncharacterized. NCBI's taxonomy places the organism in Eukaryota, Metazoa, Arthropoda, Insecta, Coleoptera, Chrysomelidae. The record is from RefSeq and is a predicted model, not a curated record. The transcript is spliced from 2 exons.